RNAcentral lists this ribosomal RNA (253 nucleotides) under uncultured bacterium. RNAcentral describes it as "partial 16S ribosomal RNA". It matches the Rfam family "Bacterial small subunit ribosomal RNA", at positions 524 to 776 of the family's 1533-position model. The record is from RNAcentral.
UACGGAGGGUGCAAGCGUUGUCCGGAAUCACUGGGCGUAAAGGGCGCGUAGGCGGCUCAUGAAGGCUGUGGUGAAAGUCCGGGGCUCAACCUCGGAUCGGCCGUGGCGACUCGUGGGCUGGAGCACUGUAGAGGCAGGUGGAAUUCCGGGUGUAGCGGUGGAAUGCGUAGAGAUCCGGAAGAACACCAGUGGCGAAGGCGGCCUGCUGGGCAGUGGCUGACGCUGAGGCGCGACAGCGUGGGGAGCAAACAGG